This is a long non-coding RNA of Salvia miltiorrhiza (redroot sage), 572 nucleotides long. RefSeq lists it as uncharacterized. The record is from RefSeq and is a predicted model, not a curated record. NCBI's taxonomy places the organism in Eukaryota, Viridiplantae, Streptophyta, Magnoliopsida, Lamiales, Lamiaceae. The transcript is spliced from 3 exons.
UAGAAUUUUCUCCAGAAUAAAUUAAAGAAAAUGAUCAAAUUGGUGACGCUAUCCAUGUCUGUCCUAUUCUGAUAAUUGGCCAUUAAAUCACCCAAUUUUUUAACACAAACACCUAAUCUUGUAUUCUUUCUUUCUUCCCACACUGCACUAGCUCAUACAAGUACAUAUAUUCUGGCAAUGUUUACAAACCUUUCAUAUCUUAAGCAUAAGAGGUUGAAAUUUUGAGAAAGCUCCUCAAAUGAGUGAACCACCAAAAUAUGCGUACCCCUAUCCUGCUCAAGGUCCAUAUCAAGGGCCUCCAGUGAUGGCACCUCCUCAGUAUUAUGCUGCACCUCCGCCCCGCACAGGACCUUCUUUUCUAGAGGGAUGUCUUGCUGCCCUGUGUUGCUGUUUCCUGGUUGAUGAGUGUUGCUGCGACCCCUCCAUCAUUUUCAUCUGUUAGAACCUCCUUGUAAAUAUUUUAGAUUAUUUGUAUUUUGGUUUGACUCCGAAUUUACAAGCCCAUAUCCAGAACAGAUGGUGUACAAUAAGAGAUACAAUUAAUGUGGUAUAAUCAAAACUAAAUUAAUUAA